UGCCGGUUCCCCCGCAACGCUAAGCAGCAAACCCCGCCAGGUCCGGAAGGAAGCAACGGUAGUUGUGAUGUGUGUGCCGGGGUAGGGCUGGCAGGG
Molecule: signal recognition particle RNA, 96 nt
Filed under: Pedobacter sp.
Lineage: Bacteria; Pseudomonadati; Bacteroidota; Sphingobacteriia; Sphingobacteriales; Sphingobacteriaceae
Description: signal recognition particle sRNA small type
Rfam family: Bacterial small signal recognition particle RNA
About the family: The signal recognition particle (SRP) is a universally conserved ribonucleoprotein involved in the co-translational targeting of proteins to membranes.
Source: RNAcentral